RNAcentral lists this ribosomal RNA (292 nucleotides) under uncultured bacterium. Its description in RNAcentral is "partial 16S ribosomal RNA". It matches the Rfam family "Bacterial small subunit ribosomal RNA", at positions 505 to 796 of the family's 1533-position model. The record is from RNAcentral.
GUGUCAGCAGCCGCGGUAAUACGUAGGGGGCAAGCGUUGUCCGGAAUCAUUGGGCGUAAAGAGCGUGUAGGCGGCCAGAUAAGUCCGCUGUGAAAACUCGAGGCUCAACUUCGAGCUGUCGGUGGAAACUAUUUGGCUAGAGUCCGGAAGAGGAGAGUGGAAUUCCUGGUGUAGCGGUGAAAUGCGCAGAUAUCAGGAAGAACACCCGUGGCGAAGGCGGCUCUCUGGUACGGAACUGACGCUGAGACGCGAAAGCGUGGGGAGCGAACAGGAUUAGAAACCCCCGUAGUCC